Gordionus sp. m RMFG-2023 is the source of this 497-nucleotide long non-coding RNA. RefSeq lists it as uncharacterized. NCBI's taxonomy places the organism in Eukaryota, Metazoa, Nematomorpha, Gordioida, Chordodea, Parachordodidae. The transcript is spliced from 3 exons. The record is from RefSeq and is a predicted model, not a curated record.
CCAUAUCUGAAGCGAGGAAAAAUUAAAAGUUGCUUUUUCCAUUAUUCCCAAGCUUUAUGGUGCAGAUGCCAAUCUUUUAGGUUGGUGAGCCUGUAUUUGAACCAUUCGAAUGUUCACAAAGUUGUAAGUCGCAUGACAACUUUGCCCUUUUGUAAAGACGAGGACAUAUUUCGAGUUAGGCAAAAUUGCUAUGCGAUGUCGUAUGAAAAUCCCAUGCUCCUAAAUUUUAUGGAGUAUAUGGAUAUGACAUGGCUAAACCAUAAUGCCAUAUUUCCCCAUGACAUAUGGACAAGAUAUAAAGUCGAAGGUCCCCGCACCAAUAACCAUUUGGAGGGAUUUCAUCAUGCCUUAAAGAGAAAGACGGCACAUGCUCACCCAAAUGUUUAUCUUCUUAUAAAAAUUUUGGUAAACCAUCAACACUAUAACGACCUCAAAAUUAUUCAGAUCAACAAUGGAUCAACAGUUCGGCAUAGAAAUAGAAAAUAUGAAAGAAUUGA